AACGAACGCUGGCGGCAGGCUUAACACAUGCAAGUCGAACGCUCGUAGCAAUACGGGAGUGGCGGACGGGUGAGUAACGCGUGGGAACGUGCCCUGAGGUACGGAAUAACUGAGGGAAACUUCAGCUAAUACCGUAUGAGCCCCGAGAGGGGGAAAGAUUUAUCGCCUUGGGAGCGGCCCGCGUCGGAUUAGCUAGUUGGUGGGGUAACGGCCUACCAAGGCUUCGAUCCGUAGCUGGUCUGAGAGGACGAUCAGCCACACUGGGACUGAGACACGGCCCAGACUCCUACGGGAGGCAGCAGUGGGGAAUCUUGCGCAAUGGGGGGCAACCCUGACGCAGCCAUGCCGCGUGAACGAUGAAGGCCUUAGGGUUGUAAAGUUCUUUUACCCGUGACGAUGAUGACGGUAACGGGGAAUAAGCUCCGGCUAACUUCGUGCCAGCAGCCGCGGUAAU
This 454-nucleotide ribosomal RNA is filed under the name uncultured bacterium. Its description in RNAcentral is "bacterial SSU rRNA". It matches the Rfam family "Bacterial small subunit ribosomal RNA", at positions 29 to 524 of the family's 1533-position model. The record is from RNAcentral.